RNAcentral lists this ribosomal RNA (253 nucleotides) under uncultured bacterium. RNAcentral's name for it is "partial 16S ribosomal RNA". It matches the Rfam family "Bacterial small subunit ribosomal RNA", at positions 524 to 776 of the family's 1533-position model. The record is from RNAcentral.
UACGUAGGGUGCGAGCGUUGUCCGGAAUUAUUGGGCGUAAAGAGCUCGUAGGCGGUUUGUCGCGUCUGCUGUGAAAACUCAGGGCUUAACCCUGAGCCUGCAGUGGGUACGGGCAAGCUAGAAUUCGGUAGGGGAGACUGGAAUUCCUGGUGUAGCGGUGAAAUGCGCAGAUAUCAGGAGGAACACCGGUGGCGAAGGCGGGUCUCUGGGCCGAUAUUGACGCUGAGGAGCGAAAGCGUGGGGAGCGAACAGG